This 663-nucleotide ribosomal RNA is filed under the name Hornodermoporus martius. RNAcentral's name for it is "eukaryotic LSU rRNA". The stretch from base 263 to 416 matches the Rfam family "5.8S ribosomal RNA". The record is from RNAcentral. Lineage: Eukaryota; Fungi; Basidiomycota; Agaricomycetes; Polyporales; Polyporaceae.
GUAAAAAGUCGUAACAAGGUUUCCGUAGGUGAACUGCGGAAGGAUCAUUAUCGAGUUUUGAAAAGGGUUGUAGCUGGCCUUCCGGGGCAUGUGCACGCCCUGCUCAAUCCCACUCUCUACACCUGUGCACUUACUGUGGGUCCUCUGAGGGUGCUGAGCGCGGGCCUCUCUUGGCCUGUGUGAAGGCCCCUCUGGGCCUGCGUUUUUAUUAUAAACUCCAAAGUAAUCAGAAUGUGCAAUGNGAUGUAACGCAUCUAUAUACAACUUUCAGCAACGGAUCUCUUGGCUCUCGCAUCGAUGAAGAACGCAGCGAAAUGCGAUAAGUAAUGUGAAUUGCAGAAUUCAGUGAAUCAUCGAAUCUUUGAACGCACCUUGCGCUCCUCGGUAUUCCGAGGAGCAUGCCUGUUUGAGUGUCAUGAAUUCCUCAACUUACAGGCCUUUGUGGUUUGUAAGGUUGGACUUUGGAGGUGUUGUCGGCCCAGGCGGGUCGGCUCCUCUUAAAUGCAUUAGUUCGGUUCCUUGUGGAUCGGCUCUCAGUGUGAUAAUGUCUACGCUGCGGCCGUGAAGCGUUUGGCGAGCUUCUUGACCGGUCCCUUGUCUGGGGACGAUUGAUUGACCUCUGACCUCAAAUCACGCAGACUACCCGCUGAACUUAAGCAUAUC